This 496-nucleotide long non-coding RNA is filed under the name Danio rerio (zebrafish). Its description in RNAcentral is "si:dkey-261l11.6 (ENSDARG00000098014.2)". Lineage: Eukaryota; Metazoa; Chordata; Actinopteri; Cypriniformes; Danionidae. The record is from RNAcentral.
GGCAAUCUGAAACUCUGCAGGCGAACGGCUGUUUUUGUCUCUGUUAAAAGCAAGUUACAAGAAAGUUUUUACAAAGUUUGCAGUAAUUAUGAAGUAGUCUACACAAAUACUGAUGAUGACAAUGAUGAAGCACUGACCUGAGAUGAGGCUGUCAAUCAGUGUGGUGGGCACGCAGAAAAUGCCCACCAGCAGGUCGCUGACGGCCAGGUUGAGGAUGAAGAGAUUAGUGACGGAGCGCAUGUUUCUGUUCCUGAUGACCACCAGACAGACCAGCCCGUUGCCCACCACACACAGCAGCAACACCAGCAGAUACGAGAGGAUGUAGCUGACCGCCAUCCCCGCCGAGUGGAUGUAAUACGGCAACAGUGUGCAGUUUUGCCAGCUCAGGUUGGCAGCAGAGUGGUUGAGGGUCAUUGUGUCCAUCUCGGAUCUUGAAAAUAAAAAUGAUUUGAACAAGCAUUGCUCAAUGGAUAGAUAUGAAAAUUCAAAAUCUCAC